Molecule: ribosomal RNA, 424 nt
Filed under: uncultured prokaryote
Description: bacterial SSU rRNA
Rfam family: Bacterial small subunit ribosomal RNA
Source: RNAcentral
UGGGGAAUCUUGGACAAUGGGGGAAACCCUGAUCCAGCGACGCCGCGUGACUGACGAAGGCCUUCGGGUCGUAAAAGUCUUUCGGCGGGGACUAUAGUGAAGGUACCCGCAGAAGCAGGAGCGGCUAACUACGUGCCAGCAACCGCGGUAAUACGUAGGCUCCAAGCGUUGUUCGGAAUUACUGGGCGUAAAGCGAGCGUAGGCGGCUUGCCAAGUCGAUUGUGAAAUCUCCCGGCUCAACCGGGAGGGUGCGGUCGAAACUGACAAGCUAGAGUCCGGGAGAGGAGAGUGGAAUUCCUGGUGUAGCGGUGAAAUGCGUAGAUAUCAGGAGGAACACCGGUGGUGAAGACGGCUCUCUGGACCGGUACUGACGCUGAGGCUCGAAAGCGUGGGGAGCAAACAGGAUUAGAUACCCCCGUAGUCC